AACAACAUCACACAAAUCCCAUGCACCGGCUUGCUGCAUGCCUUCGUAGCACUGCUAAGGAAUUGAGGAAAUGGAGCAAAUCAAUUAUUAGUGAUGUAGCUUUACAACUUGCUCUAGCCAAUGAGGUUAUUUUGCAACUCGACAUUGCGCAAGAGAAUCGUCCACUCUCGGUGGAUGAACAAGAUCUUAGAAGAAAGCUAAAAAUCCGAGUCCUAGGUCUUGCGGCCGUAGACAAAGCAAGAAAACGUCAAGCUUCUAGAAUCACUUGGCUUAAAGUUGGAGAUGCAAGUUGAAGGACCGGAACGGCAACCGGAGGGGUUGAAUGAGUGCCUUUAAAAUUCUUCUCGGAGAAUAAGGUCUAUGUCCUAAUUGUCACUCAAAAACACACCUCGCGUCAAUUCGUCAAGACGACACAAGUUAACUCAUGAUAAGCUCACCCUAGGAAAGAUUUGACACGCUUAAGACAUAGCGGGAGCAAAGCAUAAAGUGACUCCAACAAGCUUGCACAAACGAGAUUAAGUAAGACCACUGCUAAUUACUUACUCAACUAAGCAUGCAAGGAAAAACGAUUAAUUUAAAGAGCUAAGCAUGAUUAUCAAAUAAGAGUUCAAAUUAAGUAGCUAAAGCAAGUAACAUUAAUUAACUAACUAAUUGCAAGAAUUAACGAAAAAAACGAGCUCACAGUGCUACCGUAGAUGAAGCUGGGCCUGCUGCUCCUGUCUCUCUUGACCGGCCUGCUGUGAAGCCACGGCCUGCUUUGCGCCAGCCUGGGCUGCCUGCUUCGCCUCUCCUGCUCGUGGGCCUGCACACUGCUGGGCUGGAUGGACCUGCUCUCGCUUCACUGGGCCGCUGGAUGCGCUGGCUUGGCC
RNAcentral lists this long non-coding RNA (869 nucleotides) under Setaria italica (foxtail millet). RNAcentral describes it as "long non-coding RNA (SITA_LNC004327)". Lineage: Eukaryota; Viridiplantae; Streptophyta; Magnoliopsida; Poales; Poaceae. The record is from RNAcentral.